This 446-nucleotide ribosomal RNA is filed under the name uncultured bacterium. RNAcentral describes it as "partial 16S ribosomal RNA". It matches the Rfam family "Bacterial small subunit ribosomal RNA", at positions 338 to 795 of the family's 1533-position model. The record is from RNAcentral.
CCUACGGGUGGCAGCAGUCGAGAAUCAUUCACAAUGGGGGAAACUCUGAUGGUGCGACGCCGCGUGGGGGAAUGAAGGUCUUCGGAUUGUAAACCCCUGUCAUGUGGGAGCAAAUUAAAAAGAUAGUACCACAAGAGGAAGAGACGGCUAAUUCUGUUCCACCAGCCGCGGGAAUACAGAGGUCUCAAGCGUUGUUCGGAAUCACUGGGCGUAAGGGGUGCGGAGGCUGUUUCGUAAGUCAGGUGUGAAAGGCGCGGGCUCAACCCGCGGACGGCACAUGAUACUGCGAGACUAGAGUAAUGGAGGGGGAACCGGAAUUCGCGGUGUAGCAGUGAAAUGCGUAGAUAUCGAGAGGAACACUCGUGGCGAAGGCGGGUUCCUGGACAUUAACUGACGCUGAGGCACGAAGGCCAGGGGAGCGAAAGGGAUUAGAUACCCUUGUAGUC